AAGCUCGUAGUUGAAUUUCGGGGUUAGUAGGUUGGUCAUGCCUCUGGUAUGUACUGGUCUCACUGAUUCCUCCUUCCUUAUGAACCGUAAUGCCAUUAAUUUGGUGUUGCGGGGAAUUUGGACUGUUACUUUGAAAAAAUUAGAGUGUUUAAAGCAAGCUAACGCUUGAAUACAUUAGCAUGGAGUAAUGAAAUAGGACGUUCGAUCUUAUUUUGUUGGUUUCUAGGAUUGACGUAAUGAUUAAUAGGAUAGUUGGG
Molecule: ribosomal RNA, 257 nt
Filed under: uncultured Glomus
Lineage: Eukaryota; Fungi; Glomeromycota; Glomeromycetes; Glomerales; Glomeraceae
Description: partial 18S ribosomal RNA
Rfam family: Eukaryotic small subunit ribosomal RNA
Source: RNAcentral